This 274-nucleotide unclassified non-coding RNA is filed under the name air metagenome. RNAcentral's name for it is "partial contains small subunit ribosomal RNA, internal transcribed spacer 1, and 5.8S ribosomal RNA". The stretch from base 1 to 46 matches the Rfam family "Eukaryotic small subunit ribosomal RNA", at positions 1786 to 1831 of the family's 1831-position model. The record is from RNAcentral.
AAGUCGUAACAAGGUUUCCGUAGGUGAACCUGCGGAAGGAUCAUUAAUGAAAUUAUGACUGAGGUUGUAGCUGGUCCCUUCAUCGGGGCAUGUGCACGCCUCUUUCACAAUCCACAUACACCUGUGCACCUUUGCGUGAGCUUGGGAACCAGCAGCGAUGCUGAAGUACCGGGUUCGCGUCCUUUCACACACUCUUCUGUAUGUCUUAUGAAUGUCUACUCGAUGUAAUAAAACGCAUCUAAUACAACUUUCAACAACGGAUCUCUUGGCUCUC